This is a long non-coding RNA of Diospyros lotus (date-plum), 295 nucleotides long. RefSeq lists it as uncharacterized. The record is from RefSeq and is a predicted model, not a curated record. The transcript has 3 exons. NCBI's taxonomy places the organism in Eukaryota, Viridiplantae, Streptophyta, Magnoliopsida, Ericales, Ebenaceae.
AGAAUCUUCGAAUUUGGAUGCCCGAGUCGCUGAUGCCACAACACAGAGGAGGAACAACCUUUCUGAAUUGCACUAAGAGCCUCUUGAUUUGUGCCUUCCAACGAGAACUACUAGCACAUCUUUUAAAUUUAAGGUCCCAUCAUUAGUGACAAACAUGCAUCACCGGUGUGAGAAAUAGUGGCUCCUGAGUUGACUAUGAAUGACUGAUCAUUGGAAUCAUUAAGGGUAAAGGCAGCAAGUGCUUGAGGAAGAUCUUCAGAUUGGUAGGAGUAAUCAAAGCGAUACCAACAAUUAA